RNAcentral lists this transfer RNA (526 nucleotides) under uncultured Prochlorococcus sp. RNAcentral's name for it is "partial 16S-23S ribosomal RNA intergenic spacer". The stretch from base 212 to 284 matches the Rfam family "tRNA". The record is from RNAcentral. Lineage: Bacteria; Bacillati; Cyanobacteriota; Cyanophyceae; Synechococcales; Prochlorococcaceae.
CAGGGAGACAACAAAAUGUUUAAUAUUAUUAUUUUGUCACCUUAGGUCGAUCGGUAUCUCACGUUCUUAUUUUAUUAAGAAUUUCAUUUCCUAAGUUUUUCUAGGUCACACCCAUUAUUUUUCCUGGGCCAUUAGCUCAGGUGGUUAGAGCGCACCCCUGAUAAGGGUGAGGUCCCUGGUUCAAGUCCAGGAUGGCCCAUAUCUCUAUGUUGGGGGUAUAGCUCAGUUGGUAGAGCGCCUGCUUUGCAAGCAGGAUGUCAGCGGUUCGAGUCCGCUUACCUCCACUGAUUACCACCUCUCCCAUAAUUCGGUAGAAAGGAAACGUUUUGAGUUGUGAUCAAAUUCUGAACGAAUCUAGCUUCCUAAUGAAAUCAUUAAGAUGCUGGACUCAUUGAAUUAAUUUCAUUGUUUUCAGAGGACCUUGACAACUGCAUAGAUUAUUUAAAAGACAAUAAGCAUCUUUAAUGAUGCAGAUUUAUUAUUUGUGCGAAUGCAUUAAUAACAAUUCUAUUAAGCUGAUGCUUCA